This is a long non-coding RNA of Hemibagrus wyckioides, 5657 nucleotides long. RefSeq lists it as uncharacterized. The transcript is spliced from 6 exons. Lineage: Eukaryota; Metazoa; Chordata; Actinopteri; Siluriformes; Bagridae. The record is from RefSeq and is a predicted model, not a curated record.
CGAACCUGUGAUAAGGUACUUUGCCGUGGCGAGCACCAUUAUUGCAAGGAUGACCCUGACCUCUAUUGGCCAAACACUGCAAAAAGAUCAAGCGCAUCAUUCAACACUGCUGAUGCUGCAUUAUACACUGAAGAACUCUCCUGGGAUUCUUGGUUUUCUUUGGGAACACAGAUGGCAGAUCCAGGUCAGUUUCCCUUGCCAAGUUUUGCAGGCCACCAUGUUAUCCAUUCUGUUCAGCUAUUUAGAAAAUGUUGAAUAUCAACAAUGGCUUUCACUGCGGCAUUGUUGGCUUUUGUAUGAAGCAAUCUUGGCUGAAUGUGAUGGCUCGGCGUGCAGGGAGGGCUCACUGCCGAAUGAGAAUCUUCCUGCCUCUCUCUUCCCUCUGGGCUCUGAGCUGCACAACUGGAGGGUCUCACGGGCUUCUCAAGCGCUGCUCACACGAUAUCUCCAAGCCCCCCUGAAGAUGCUGAGAGAGGGAUGAAGAGGGACGAGUGAAGGCGUGAAGGUUGAUAUCUGCGUCACGCCCGGCCCUGCAAGCAGAAUUACUCUUAAGAUGUAGACACAUAAAACAGGUGAGAGAAAGUGACGCCAGGAUUGGUCGGCUGUCUGUUCCAUAUUCAGCAGCUCUGGAUGAGGCAGUGGGCCUGCUGGGAAAACGGUGUCGUAAUCAGGAGCCGAUCGCUCUGCCUGAUCAGCUGAAGCUGGUCAGUUCCCCAGCAUCAUCAGAGUGCCCUCAUUGUCCAUCAGUCCACAGUGUCUGGUCAUGGGGCAGCCCUGCACCCACCCACCCAUACUGCUCACCGUGGGAAGCAGCACAUCAAGAAGAAUUGGGCAUGUUUGGCUCAGGUAACAUGGCGGGGGAGGGGAGGAACAUGGAUGGAUGGAUGAAGGGACAGAGAGAGAGAGAGAGUACAAAAACUAGAGAGUAUAAUCCUGGGGUAGGGGACUCCAAAGGUGAGCAUGAGCAUGAACAAGUAUUUUAUAUGUGUUUAUGUAAGUGUGCAUGUUGACCCAUAUGUAUAUGCAUUAUUGUGUGUGUGUGUGUGGGAUGGUAUCCCUCGGGAAAUAGAACUGUGGGAAUAUGCGUCCCAAGCAGGACUACUGCUCCCAAGGGAGCACCUCUUUUCGGAAGCCACACACACACACACAUACACACAGACACACACAAACACACACAGAGAGAGAGAGAGAGAGAGAGAGAGAGAGAGGGAGGCAAAAGGUGAAGGUUUCAUGUGGACCAGGAUUUCAUUAUUCUCCAUGUACAGUCCAACAUACAUACACACACACACACACACACACGCAACAGGUCAGCAGUGGCUCAACAACCAGUAGCCCCUUUGCUUGAGAGACAAUAUACACUCUUCCCCCUAGAGAGAUGAGAGAUGGACAUGGUGUCACUCAAAGCUGACAAGCAGAUCACUGAAAAGCCUUUUGUGUUACUAUGUGUGUUCCUGUGUGUUUGGGUGUUCAACCUCUUAUCACACUCUGCUUGUACGAUCAUUAUAGUGUAUUUAUCUUUUUUUGUAAGAUAUUUUUUUAAAGAAUAAAAUAAAUACCAACCAGGUGAUACAUUUUCAGCUACAGAUUAUCUUUUUGUAAUUUUAUUUAUAAUUUAAUUGAUUUAUUUAAUUAGAUACUUUAUUUAAUAAUUUAUUUAUUAUUGUAUAAUUUAUAAUAUUUUAUAUUUAUAAUUUAUUAUAUAAUAUAUAAAAUUAUAUAAUAUCACCACAGACAGCUAUUUUUAAAUAUUUUCCUGAGAAAAGUCCCUUAUAAUGGAACUCUAAGGGCAUUUGGUUCAAUCCAUCAAUAUACUAUAUAUCAGUCAGAUUCAAAACAAUAAUUCCAGUCUAAAAUAAAGUAAGAUAAGACAGAUGAGAGAAUAUCUUACCAGAGCUGUUCUUACAGAAUGGUGCCAAAUUAAAUUGAAAAAUCUCUGUUAUUCAUCUGUGGGAAUUUUGCUGGCAUGGUCAGUGUGCACUUUUCUUUUUAGAGAGAAGUGAUAGCUCUCAGUUUUUCUAACUGAUGACUUUUAUCCUACGAUAAAUCAUCCCUACAGUAACAGGAGUGCUCCAGGAUGAUAUUCCUGGAUUAAUAUGUCACCCACGUCCCCAUCUGCAGUUCAUAAGGGGUUCAUGAAUGUUUUGAUGAGGAUAAAAAUGAUUUUAUAUAAAUUUACUGCCAACAGAUUUGAACCCAACUGUAAACAUAUGUGAGUUCAGAGUGACUUUCAUCAUCUAAAUCUUUAACAUCAGCCACCAUCAUCAUCAAGGGAAAGAAUGACUUUAGGAGGAAUGAUGUUAUUCGCUCAUGUACAACUCAUGUACAGAGAUUUGUAGGAUCUGUUCCAAGUCAUAUUGAAGCUGGUGGCUUGAGUAACCCAACAAUGUUACUAAGACACUUGAGGGUAUUUCACACUGCGUUUAACCCCCGCUUUUAACCCCAGGUAGAGGAACGAUUCACACUUGUAAUUUAGAUAUGGAGUUAGCACUGCCUUUGCACCUGAGGUUAUGAAAUCCUGCCAGAUUUGUACAGUGUGAAAUGAUGUGGUGUUAGAUUAUUAUAGGUACAUGCUUAGCAACAGAUUCCCAAUCAGACAUCGGACAGCGUGUACCUCAUAUCAGGUGAGAACCAGCAACACAUAGCCACGGCUCGGUAGCAUCAGGCAGCAAAACACUCGGAAGUACAUGCUAUAGUGAGGAGGAAAUAUCCAACACUGUACAAUAUGUUGGAGCUGGAUAAGGUCAACUAUGCAACAAACCUUAAAAAUGCCAAAAGAAAAAAGAUUAGAAAGCUGUGAUGCUAAAACUUGAGACAAGCCGUUAUUUCUAUUGUAGUCUAUUGUAGCCAAUGCAGUUGACUGAAAAUAUGCAGAUUAGUACGUGAACCCAGGGUUUAAGAAAGUACAGUGUGAAUAGUCAGGAUUAAUUGAAAAUUAUGAAACAUGAAGCAAGAUAACCCAGGAUUCCUUUCACUCUGAGCGUAGGCUGACUGAGCGUUAACUAUUUCAAGUGUGAAAAGCUCUUUUAUGUUGCUUUUGCCUUCAAUAUGUUUGGGUGUAGUUGUGUUCAACUUUCCACAACUGAACCAACAUAGUAAAACCUCAUUGUGUUAAAUUGCUUGAGGUUUUGUGGUAUCCCUCAAACAGGUGCUAAUUGUGAAACAUUCAGGGACUUGUUUAUGCUCUACAUUGUACUCUGUAAAAGUAGCUGCAUAUCUGAAAGGCAGAAUCCUUACCGAGAAAUAUGUAGAAAUUAUUGUCCAGGUUAAAUGCUCAUAAAGAUGCAAGGUGAGAAAGAAAAUGCUAGAAUGUUUCUUUAUUAAAGCUGGAUGUGGAUUUAAGGUGAAAUGCUGAAUUAUUUGUUAUUAAAUGUAUUUUAGAGUGUUAUUGCUAUAAGUGGUGUUCAUUUUAUUAUUAUUUGUGUUGCAGCACGUUGCUCAGCACACUGGCAAAGCAGUACAUGCAGUACGCUGAUAAACUGUUCCUGCUCGACACCUGCUGAUUUAUAGAUUAGAUUAAAUCUGGGAAUGGCUGAGAGGAUUAAGUCACUGCUGCUUUCCAUGGAGCAGAAAAACACCUUGUCUGCUGUGGCAUGAGGCAGAGCCUGAGGGUCAGGGGGUCUUGUUUACCUGGGGCAGGCAUUUCCUCUGUGGGCUGAUAAGAGCAGGACAGGGGAAGUGGUCUGUCACAGGUGAGUGAAGAGAGAGAGAGAGAGAGAGAGAGAGGGAGAGAGAGAGAGAGAUGCAUGAGGAAGCCACCUAUGAUACCUGCUCUUACUAACAUGGAAACACACUAAACCAUCCUCAAAUAAGGUCAUAUGUGUGAUCUGUCUUGGUGUAGACAGACCAUGCAUAGUUUAGAUAGCAUGUGUGUGUGUGUGUGUGUGUGAGAGAGAGAGAGAGAGAGAGAGAGAAAUGAAAAAAAGUGAUGCUCAGACUCUUGUAAGUGUAUAUAUUGACAUGUUUGGCAGUUAGAAUGCAUCUUUUGUUUUGCUACAAAUUGUUAAAAAUCUGAAAAUCUGUAACACACGCAUGUCUACAAAAUGACUUCAAUCAAUCACUGCAAAAAAUGCAACCAAACAGGACCAAACCCUGUUACAGUGCAACUCACAGCAGCUAGUAUUGGUGACAUGCAAUAUGAGUUGAGCUUAGAUAUUUGUACCCACAAGGCACUGCCACAAGGCUGCAAACAGUGGAGGUGCUUAAAGUAAACAGUCCCAAGACAGAGGAGGCUCGGCUGAUGGAUGGAGGCUGAGUUUGUUUGUUUUUACUCUGGCCUUCCUCUUCCUCCAUUACCUGGGCUUGAGCGCUUCUCUGGCCCUCAGGUGCUGAGAGGAGCCGGUCAGCCUGAACGUGUUAACAAGAGAGGAUUCCUAGCAUCCACUGACAGACAUACGUGCAAGCAGCAUGGAGUAUAUCACUAACAAUAAGUUCUGCUUUCUGUAUGGUUAUGUCUUUAGUAUUAUUAUAAAAAUAUCAUGGCUUUCUUGUCAUUUAUUUUAUUGCAUGUGGUAACUACAGUAUAUGUGUGGUCAACCCCUCAUCCUGAGACAUCCCGCCUAUGGGCUGUCUGAUAUAUUUUGCCAUUUUCUGGCAUUGAGCUUCAGAAUCCUAUAGGUUUCAUUCUGAAUGACUCUCCACAUUUCUUUAUAUCUGCAUCCCUGUAUGCUGAUUUCCAACAGAAAUACUAAACAGAGCAUAAUGAAAUGAUUAGAGCAAGAUAUAAUCAUUAAAAUCAAACAUGUUUGCAUACAACUUAAUAUAGAACAGACAGACAGACAGACAGAUAGACAGAUAGAUAGAUAGAUAGAUAGAUAGAUAGAUAGAUAGAUAGAUAGAUAGAUAGAUAGAUAUUCUUUAGUGUCAUUGGACAGAGUACAAUACAGUUAUGUGUCAUGCCUUAUGGUGUAAGAAAAAAAGAAUAACAAAAGAUAAAGGAUAAAUAAAAGGAGUACAAAUAUUGACUAGCUGAUCAGACGGGACUGUCCAAUUGAGAUAUAAAGAAAUAGCAGCUAGUUAUUGCAUUUAACAAGAGAACCACGUGAACUCACUGUUCAUAUGUCCAAUAAUGUUGAUCUGCAAUGUUAGAUAUAGUGUUAGUGUUAUAUAAAAUUGUACUGAUUUGUUUAAUAUUGGUUUGUACUUUUGUGUGUAAUGUUUUAUAUAGUCUAUUUGUCACCUCCACUGUUUUUAUCCUGAAUUUGUAAUUUUGUGAUUAACAAUCAGGCAUUACUUUGCUAUAAAGUUGCUAAUAAAAGAUAAAAUGCACUGUAUUAUCAAUGCUUCCUGGCCAUGUUUCUUUCUCUAAUUCUAAAUCAUCAAUAAUAUUAAUGAACUUUACAUGAAUAUGAGUGAUUUAGUCAUUAAUAAGAGUAAAUCAUUUAGUUUGAAGCAGUUAGUGGUUAGUUAAUAAUAUCUUGCAUGUUUGGGAGGCUACAGGAAAAGCUCUGUGCUUACUCAUCUACCAUGUGAGUCAUGUUGAUUAGUAAUAGGAGACAGUAUUUGGUUAUGUCUAAGGACUAGAUGUACCAGAUUCCUUAAAUAUUAGCAGUCUUGUUUGUGAGAUUAGGCCAACCCCAGAAUUAAAAUGAAGUAUUUUUAGAUAGUCCUUGCAGGCCUGUGCUUUUAUAUUGACAUAUACUAAUGAUAUUCAACAAAGA